AUUGAACGCUGGCGGCAUGCCUUACACAUGCAAGUCGAACGGCAGCACGGGAGCUUGCUCCUGGUGGCGAGUGGCGAACGGGUGAGUAAUACAUCGGAACGUACCCUGAAGUGGGGGAUAACGUAGCGAAAGUUACGCUAAUACCGCAUAUUCUGUGAGCAGGAAAGAGGGGGAUCGCAAGACCUCUUGCUUUAGGAGCGGCCGAUGUCGGAUUAGCUAGUUGGUGAGGUAAAGGCUCACCAAGGCGACGAUCCGUAGCGGGUCUGAGAGGAUGAUCCGCCACACUGGGACUGAGACACGGCCCAGACUCCUACGGGAGGCAGCAGUGGGGAAUUUUGGACAAUGGGCGCAAGUCCGAUCCAGCCAUGCCGCGUGAGUGAAGAAGGCCUUCGG
Molecule: ribosomal RNA, 393 nt
Filed under: uncultured bacterium
Lineage: Bacteria
Description: bacterial SSU rRNA
Rfam family: Bacterial small subunit ribosomal RNA
Source: RNAcentral